RNAcentral lists this ribosomal RNA (252 nucleotides) under uncultured prokaryote. RNAcentral describes it as "partial 16S ribosomal RNA". It matches the Rfam family "Bacterial small subunit ribosomal RNA", at positions 525 to 777 of the family's 1533-position model. The record is from RNAcentral.
ACAGAGGGGGCAAGCGUUGUUCGGAAUUACUGGGCGUAAAGGGCGCGUAGGCGGCCUUCUAAGUCGAACGUGAAAUCCCUCGGCUUAACCGAGGAACUGCCUGCCAGACUGCUUGGCUUGAGACCGGGAGAGGUGAGUGGAAUUCCCAGUGUAGCGGUGAAAUGCGUAGAUAUUCGCAAGAACACAGUGGCGAAGGCGGCUCACUGGCCCGAUACUGACGCUGAGGUGCGAAAGCGUGGGGAGCAAACAGGA